Passer domesticus (house sparrow) is the source of this 2297-nucleotide long non-coding RNA. RefSeq lists it as uncharacterized. The transcript is spliced from 3 exons. NCBI's taxonomy places the organism in Eukaryota, Metazoa, Chordata, Aves, Passeriformes, Passeridae. The record is from RefSeq and is a predicted model, not a curated record.
AGCUCUACCCUCUUAGGUUCUCUUUGGUUUUAAUGUUUCUCAUUAAAAAUGAUGAAACAUGCGCUGCUGUUACUGAAUACUCAUCUUUCUCACCAACAGAAAACCUCAGUUGUUCUGGUCAUGAAACACUUGAUGUGAUGGCAGGUUUUGGUUUUUUCCAGCGUGAGCAGGGCAUGGCUGACUCAAGCAAGGACAUCCAGGAUCUACACAGAUCUCCAUCAUUGCUGACACUGCUUGGAUUUUACAUAUGCACCAAACCCAGGCUUCAGUGUGGAAAUACCAUGUGAGUGAACACUACAGCUGUGGGGCAUACAAAGUUUUCAGUCAGAUUGUGUGGAGCAGACUGUCAUAUCCCAUAGUGGCCAUAAUUCCACAUUGCAGACAACAGUGGUGCAGUAGCUGGCACAAGAGGACAUAAGUCUCAGAGGAGAAUCUCCCCAAGAUGUGGUGCAUCACUUAACAGGAGAGAACCUGAGAUUCAUUUGGCAGGGGAAAGCUUAUACCAGCACUUCCCUGACCCCUGAGCAGAUGAAGGAAGACCUCGAGAUGUUCACAGCACUGCUUGAGUUCACCUUAUAAAGCAAACUCCUCAGGAACUGGGUCUGGAAACCGACACCUCCUUCACAGGAGCUUUCCCAGAGCACAGAAAAGUGGUAAUAAAUUAAAGAUGUAACAUUGUUUUAAAAGAGAGAGGGAGUUGUAGCUGACAAAGCACAGCAUUUUGACCAUACGGCUUUGCCUACAGUCACUUGGCACGCCACUUGACUGGGGCAGCACAGCAUUUAAUUUUAAAAAAAGGCAAGGAGAGAGAUCCACAACCACAAUUCUCCGUGCCUAGAUGUUGCAAAUUAUUUAUAUAUUCUUUUGUGGAACCUGACAUCCUCAGCCUGCAAAGAGAACACUUAACUGGCUUGAUUUGUUGAAACAGUGUAGUGUUAGUAGAGCAUUACAUAAAUAUGAAGUAAGUAGCUCUCCUAAACUAAGUGUAUCUUGAAAGACAGUAUUAAACUGAGGAUUGCCAAUUCCCAGCUGAAAUGCAAACCAUUUCUAACUUCAGCUGAUGCAGUUCAGUUCCAUUCCUUACUGUUUCAACCCAGCAGGAAAGAAAUGUAAUUUCAGACAAUAGGGACAAAUUCAUAGUUGAGGAAAAUAAGUAUGCAGCAUCGUGGAUGCUCUGCUCUGCCUUUCUAAGCAUCCACUAAGAUUUGUAGUUCCAAAUACAGUGGAACAAAUAAAGAGCCCUUCUUGCUUUCUGCUUUCUGAACAGUGGAAGGUCUGGCUUCCACAUGUUCCUGUAUCAACUGGGAAAAGUUGUAGGUUAUUUUGUUUGUGAUUUUUUUGGUUUUUGGUUGUUUUUUGGUGUUUUUUUUUUUGUGGGACAAAAACUGUACUCCAAAAAGAGUGUUUUACACAGUUAUCGUCUCUGUCUGUUGCAAAAAGGUCCAAAAGAUGAAAUAAAACUUCCAUGAGGUGAGCAAGAACACCUUUUUGUUAUGGGUUUUGGCAAAUUGUCUCUUCCAACCCAACUUUCUGUUUCAAGCAUGGGUGCUGCAGACCCUUCCCGAGCUGUGAGCCCUCCCAGCGAGUGUGUUCCCUGCAGCUCUCUGGAAAGGUGGGGUCCAUAGAGCUGAGAGGAAAAGGCUGUGCAGGCUCAGCCUGGCAUUUCACAGGACGUUUACUGAGCAUGUUGGAAGCAGCGCCACAGAGGGAACCCCAUUCCCAUUGUGCAGGUGUAAUCCUUCCCAUUUUUCCCCCUCUUCUCAUGAUACCUUUACUGCCCUGUAUCCCUUCUCCAACCCCAAGCCCGUCUUCAUUACUAAAACCACUCCUCUGAUCCUCAGCAAGCUCUGUCAUUACCAAAUCAAUCUUCCUAAUCCAAAAUAGUUUUCCCAAGCUCAUUUGGUGUAGCCACAGAAUGCUUCCUGAUCUCUGAAAAAAGCUGAUUUAAAGAACACAGACAGAACAGAGGCAUUUAUAAAUGAGAAAAUUUAGUCCAUACUUCAAAACCUAAGAAAUUUGUUUCCUGACCUUAAUCAAGGCCCCUUUCAUUACUCAGACAGGUAUAGAUCAGUUUAACAAUCCCCAUGACUUUCUCAGUAAAGAGUAUUUGAUUUUGCCACAGCUGAUCAUCAGCCUUUGGUGUUUAGUGUCACAGCUUUUGGACUUUUCUAGGUCACCUCAGUGUUAUUAGCAAUUCUGAAGAAAUCUGUCAUCCCAUACCUUUUUAGACAGCAAUUUUAUUUGAAGUGUUUCUUAAUUUGCUUUAUUUGUACCUCUGGUAACUUUAUUUCAACUUC